Molecule: transfer RNA, 70 nt
Filed under: bovine gut metagenome
Rfam family: tRNA
About the family: Transfer RNA (tRNA) molecules are approximately 80 nucleotides in length. Their secondary structure includes four short double-helical elements and three loops (D, anti-codon, and T loops).
Source: RNAcentral
CGAAAUAGCUCAACAGGCAGAGCAACUGACUUGUAAUCAGUAGGUUGUUGGUUCGAUUCCGAUUUUCGGC